Molecule: long non-coding RNA, 778 nt
Organism: Mytilus trossulus (common blue mussel)
Lineage: Eukaryota; Metazoa; Mollusca; Bivalvia; Mytilida; Mytilidae
Exons: 3
Source: RefSeq, a predicted model, not a curated record
UUGCUAUUUUUUUUAGUUUUCUUCCUAUUUCUGUAGUUUGCCUUAAUCUAAUGUGAUAAAACUUUUAUACAAUACUUUUUAGUUAUUUUGUGUAUAUUUAAAUUGCAGAGUAAUGAAUAUCUUAUAUUUCAUAGGGAUCAAUAUACAGGGAUAUUGCUACUCUGAGGCCCAUGCAGGAAAGUCAUAUUGUGAUUCAAAGAUGGCAAAUAAGCGCAAAAAGAUAAAAAGUUGGGUUGCAAGUUGAAAAAAAAACAUUGUAACAGCAGCUGAUAUGAAAACUGUCCUUGACUCUAGAACAGGUGUUGCUGGAUGUCAAGUCUCUAAAUGUGCUAACAACACCUCAUAACACAAACUGAUUACACACAAGUUAGAAGGAAUAAAUGAUUUUAAUGAGUUGUGAGUUGAAAAAGAUGGUAUACUACUGAGGAAAGCCUACAACAUCGGCAAGGACUGAUGAAGAUUGCACAGCAGAAUAAAAAUGAUUGCUCAUUUGGGAUUAUCUCUUGUCCUUGAUAUAUAGUUAAACAAGUGCAGAGAUAUUUUUGCCUGAGCUUUUGUUCUUUUUCAUCAAUGUUCAGAAAGAAGAAAUAUAGAAGAAUAAAGAAAAAAUUGGUAAGUUUUUGAAUAUUGAUAAAGUUAUAAAAUUUUGAGGUAAAAUUUUAGUUUUUUGCAAUUUUCUUUAAAAAAUCUACACUUGAGAAAAUGAGACAGUCUCAAAAUAUAAAAUCCUCCCUUUAAGGGAAAACUUUAGCAACUUCAAACUGCAUUGAAAAACAAA